AAAAGACAGAAGGCUAAUGGAGGGUUUUAAAGAGGUGGAUGAAGCAGCAUGAAAGGAAGGUGACUUUUCCAGGAGUACUUAAGCCAAACUGUAUGUCUAUCCAGAUGUUCCUUUCAAGCCUACAUGAUUUAAAAUAUGCCCCAGGAGUCUGUAAUCAAAGUGCUCUGCAAAGUCAAAUGAGCAUUGUCAUCCCCAUAUUACAGAAGAGGAAACAGAAGCACAGAGAAGUUAACUGAUUUCCCUGAUGUCACAGAACAAAUUAAUGGCAGAGCCAGGAGCAAAAUGCGGGUACCCUGAAGCCCAUUCUGGUGCCUUAACAUAGGACCAUGCUGCCUCCCAGAAAGAAGAAACUGCUUCCCUGCCUACUGCUCCCCAACAAUGCUGAUAUAUGGGGCCUGGGAAUCAAACCUAGGUCGCAUAUAUCACAGGUUGCUAAGCCACACAGUUGAUCACAAAAAUGUAAAAUACAUUGCUAAAUUCACCUCUAGGGAAGACCGGAGUAGCUCCCUUUGACCCAGAUGUGAGCUUAGACCAGGACAGAGUUUGGUCUUCACCAUCUAAUUAUCCAAAGACAACAUGAAAAGACACACAAUUUUCCUUUGAUACUUCUCCACAUUUUUUUCUUCCUUUAUCCAGUAUUUAAUCACUGUUCUGAUUUUGAAGUGAAUUAUACAAGAGACUCAGUGGGAAGACAAACAAAUUUGUUAGAGCUUUUUCUGUUUCUUUUUUUAAGCUUCCUGUUAGCUUAAGCACAUUGUGUUCCUCUGUAUCACAUCCCUUUAGAGCCAUAUGUGGAAGUAAUAAAGUGUAUCC
Dermochelys coriacea (leatherback sea turtle) is the source of this 813-nucleotide long non-coding RNA. RefSeq lists it as uncharacterized. NCBI's taxonomy places the organism in Eukaryota, Metazoa, Chordata, Testudines, Dermochelyidae. The transcript has 4 exons. The record is from RefSeq and is a predicted model, not a curated record.